RNAcentral lists this transfer RNA (66 nucleotides) under Hormaphis betulae. RNAcentral describes it as "tRNA-Met". Lineage: Eukaryota; Metazoa; Arthropoda; Insecta; Hemiptera; Hormaphididae. The record is from RNAcentral.
ACAAAAUUUAGCUAAACAAACCUUUUGGAUUCAUACUUCAAAUAUAGAAUAAAAAUGUUUUUUGUG